UACGUAGGGUGCGAGCGUUAAUCGGAAUUACUGGGCGUAAAGCGUGCGCAGGCGGUUUUGUAAGCCAGGUGUGAAAUCCCCGGGCUCAACCUGGGAAUGGCAUUUGGGACUGCAAGGCUGGAGUGUGGCAGAGGAGACUGGAAUUCCUGGUGUAGCAGUGAAAUGCGUAGAUAUCAGGAGGAAUACCGAUGGCGGAAGGCAGGUCUCUGGGCUGACACUGACG
This 223-nucleotide ribosomal RNA is filed under the name uncultured bacterium. Its description in RNAcentral is "partial 16S ribosomal RNA". It matches the Rfam family "Bacterial small subunit ribosomal RNA", at positions 524 to 745 of the family's 1533-position model. The record is from RNAcentral.